CCUACGGGUGGCAGCAGUGAGGAAUAUUGGUCAAUGGACGGAAGUCUGAACCAGCCAUGCCGCGUGCAGGAAGACGGCUCUGUGAGUUGUCAACCUCUUUUGUACAAGGGUAAACCUGAAGACUUGUAUGCGGCUGAAGGUACUUUACGAAUAAGGAUCGGCUAACUCCGUGCCAGUAGCCGCGGUAAUACGGAGUAUGCAAGCGUUAUCCGGAUUUAUUGGGUUUAAAGGGUGCGAAGGCGGACUGGUAAGUUAGAGGUGAAAUGUCCGGGCGUAACCCGGGAACUGCCUUUAAUAUUGGCGAGCUAGAGAGUAGAUGAGGUAGGCGGAAGGGACGGUGUAGCGGUGAAAUGCUUAGAGAUCAUACAGAACACCGAUUGCGAAGGCAGCUUACC
RNAcentral lists this ribosomal RNA (395 nucleotides) under uncultured bacterium. RNAcentral describes it as "partial 16S ribosomal RNA". It matches the Rfam family "Bacterial small subunit ribosomal RNA", at positions 338 to 730 of the family's 1533-position model. The record is from RNAcentral.